This 77-nucleotide transfer RNA is filed under the name Corynebacterium pseudotuberculosis. RNAcentral describes it as "tRNA-Leu". Lineage: Bacteria; Bacillati; Actinomycetota; Actinomycetes; Mycobacteriales; Corynebacteriaceae. The record is from RNAcentral.
CACGAACUUUCCCCCAUCUACGAGCGGAUUAGUCUUUUCACGGCCCCGUCCGCUAAUAUUUUUCCACAGCGCCCCUG